AAAGGGCGCGUUUUGGCGCUGGUGACCGGGGGUGACCGGGGGUGACCGGGGAUGGCCGGGAAGAUGAAAGAGCACUGAAACUGUCCCAUUUCCUGGCACCUCAACCCUUCAUAAAUACGGGUCCAUAUACAGAGGCUCCAGUUUACACAAGACAAAAAUGGCGUGGAGCCUUCAGAUCAGAUUCCAACCCAGCUAACACCUUGACGACAACCCCCAUGAGAGACUGUGAAUCAAAGUAGCCAGAUUUAAGGGUUCAAUCCUACAAGACUGCCUCCUCUUGAGUUCCUCUGCCCGGCCGCCCCACUGUCUGGGAAGUGAGAAGCGCCUCUGCCUAGCCGCCCACCAUCUGGGAAGUGAGGAGCACCUCUGCCCGGCCGCCCCACACCACCGCCGCCAUCUGGGAAGUGAGGAGUGCCUCUGCCUGGCCCCCGCAACGUCUGGGAAGUGAGGAGCGCCUUUGCGCGGCUGCUGUGCGACCCUCCAAGUGUGAAGUGACAGCCUUGUGUGUGAUCUUUCUGCCCUCCCCAAGUUUGCAUUUUCGACAUUAAAGUUUACUUUUCAAUUAAAAUUUUUAAAUUGGAGAAUAUAUAAUUUAAAAAAAAAAAAAAAAGACUGCCUCCUCUUAAGAUGCCAGUCACAAGUCCUGGGCUACCAGUAUUUCUGACUAACUGGCUAUAAAUUAGAGGCUCCCACAAACCCCUCCUCAGGUUUGAUAAUUUACUAGAACAGCUCAUAGAACUCAGGAAACACUUUACCUAUGGUACCUAGUUAAUAAUAGAGGAUAUAACUGAGGAACAGCCAGACUGAAGAAAUGCAUAGGGCAAGAUAUGGAAGAGGGUGUGCCAAGCUUCCAUUCCUCUCUGCGUGUGGCAUCCUCCCAGCACCCUGGUAUGUUCACAAACCUGAAGCUUGUUCAAGAGUACAAAAAAUUAGCCGGGUGUGGUGGUGGGUGCCUGUAGUCCCAGCUACUCAGGAGGCUGAGGCAGGAGAAUGGCAUGAAUCCGGAGGCGGAGCUUGCAGUGAGCCAAGAUCAUGCCAGUGCCCGCCAGCCUGGGCAUCAGAGUGAGACGCCAUCUCAAAAAAAAAAAAAGAAAAAAAAAAAAAGAAAAAAACUCACAGCCUGGGCGACAGAGCGAGACUCUGUCUCAAAACAAUAAUAAUAAUAAAUAAAAUUUUUUUUUUUUUGAGAUGGAGUAUCGCUCUGUCACCCAGGCUGGAGUGCAGUGGCACGAUCUCAGUUCACUGCAACCUCCACCUCCCGGGUUCAAGGGAUUCUCCUGCCUCAGCCUCCUGAGUAGCUGGGACUAUAGGCACGUGCCACCACGCCCAGCUAAUUUUUGUAUUUUUAGUAGAGACGGGCUUUCACCAUGUAGGCCAGGAUGGUCUCGAUCUCUUGACCUCAUGAUCCGCUCGGGAUUACAGGCGCGAGCCCCCAUGCCCAGCCUGUUCAAGAGUUUUUAUAGAACUUACUCUCCAGUCCAUUCCUCCUUUCAGUUCCAAUCCUCUAAUUGCUUGGUCUUUCUGGGGACCAGUCUCAUCCUGACACUAUCUAGAGGUCUCAUGAGUAGUCACCUCAUGAGCAGAAAUUCAGGUGUAUCACAGGGUUUCCUUAUGAAUAACAAAAGACACACCUAUUUCUCAGGAAGAAAUUCCAAGGGUUUUAAGCAUACUGUGCCAUGAACUGGGAACAAUGACCAAAUAUACUUAUCCGUGUCACUUUCUAUAUACCAGACUGUGAAAAAUAAAUAUACAUUUGGUCUCUGCCCUCCAAAUCUUUGGAAUUGCUGAAGUGUCUUUUAUAUGCUAUUGAGAUGACUGGUGCCUGGGGCUCUUCCAUGGCCUCAGGAAGGGAGCUGGUUGCCAGGGGAACCAACCUUGUGACAGACAGUUGGAACUUUCAGUCUCACCUCUCCAACCAACCCCUGACCUCUGUGGAAGGGAGAGGUGAUGGAAAUUGAGCUUACCACCAAUAGUUAAUGAAUUAAUAAAUUAUGCCUAUGUAAUGAACCCACCAAAACAAUAAAAGGAUGAGGUUGAGAGCUUCCAGGCUGCUGAACAUAGGGUAGUCCUGGGAGGGUAGAAUACCCAGAAAGGGCAUGGAAGCCCUGAGGCCCUUCCCCAUUACCUGACCU
This 2132-nucleotide long non-coding RNA is filed under the name Homo sapiens (human). Its description in RNAcentral is "non-protein coding lnc-ZNF613-5:5". Lineage: Eukaryota; Metazoa; Chordata; Mammalia; Primates; Hominidae. The record is from RNAcentral.